CAAAAUAACAUCAGCCGUAAAAGUCAUAAAAUACUAAAGCGGCAUUGGGAACUCAGGACCCACCAUGGGGAAUGCAGAGGGCAGUGUCUUGGCAAUUGCGGCCUUGUUUUUCCCAGCUGGAAUGCUGAUGAAUUACCUGGGAGAAAACAUCUCAUCUGGCUGUUCUCAGAAAGUGAAAUGGGGUAAAACACGAAGAAUACAUAGCAGAAAGCAAAAGAGUGGUGACUGUAGGACUGAUCUGAUGUGUCUCCUCACCCCAACCCUCUCUCUAGCAACAACGAGUAGCAGAUGUUUAAGGAAAGAUGAGAAGCAGGGUAAAUGCAAAGUGAUCUUCUCCUUAUACAUCCUCCCAGCUUUCAGCACACAGUGCUUUUGGCAAAGUUGUGAGUGCCAGGGGAAAAUAUAUAUAUGAGAUCUUCUCUAAUUCUUCUUUCUGAUGCAUGAAUGUGGGAUUUUUGUCCCGAAUCCACAUGAGCUCAUUCAGCCACCAAGCAGGCUUUUCAGAAAGACGGCAUUAUCGCAAUAGCCAGAUCUUCUGUGCGGCUUGCCACAUGACUGCUGUGAGAGGGCAGCCUGCCAGGCUACCCAAAUCCAGCCAGGAAGCCCAUGAAACACCACUCAACAAGUCACGCUAACUCCAGCUUCCUAGUGGUUACAUUAAUGGUUGCGACAGUGACCACAGGCUGAACGGCGCGUGUUCCUCUGCGGUGUGAGAGCAAGGCCGCAGCCUCGUGUUGCUCCAUCCUCAGGGGCUGAAGGACCAGUAAUGGCUGCAGGGAUCGCUGCAGCUGGGUUAAGCAUCCCUAAUUUUUUUUUGUAGGCAAAGGAAAUGCCUGAAAAUGCCAGCGAGGCAGGUCAAGGAGAGGACGUGGCCAGCCCGAGGGGCAGCCCCAGGCUGUAACCCACACCGGAGACCGCCUGCUCGCUUUCCCGGCCUGAGCCGGCGGUAGGAGAGGCGGGGAAGACUUGGGGCAGCCUAAUCCAGCAUUAAAGUCCUGGCUAAUUCUCUCCUUCCUGAGGACACCUGAGACGCGGGGCUGGCGCGUGGGGGCCGGCGGCUGCUUCCCAGUUGGCUCCAACAGCUGCGAUCUGCAGCGCUCGUCUCCGGCAAGGUAUGGUUUCUAUGGGACUGGCACCCCAGGGUUGGGUUUCUGCUCCUGGGGGCCACCCCAGAACCUUGGGGAGGGAGGGAUGUGGCUUUCUGGAAGAAUGGAGAAGGAAUAUUUCAUGUAAGCAUCUCUCCUUGGUGCCAGGUGGGGGAUGCUAAACCUCUGUUUCCCUCCAGCAGCAUUGCUUGGGAAAGGGGAAAAGUGGUUCCACAAAGGAGAGGUCUCCUGUACCCCAAAUAUUGGACCUCCUAGGAUCCAGGAGGAACACGAUGUCCUGAGCACCCAGCACAGGGAGGAAGGCAG
RNAcentral lists this long non-coding RNA (1412 nucleotides) under Anas platyrhynchos platyrhynchos (common mallard). RNAcentral's name for it is "lncRNA (ENSAPLG00000020125.1)". The record is from RNAcentral. Lineage: Eukaryota; Metazoa; Chordata; Aves; Anseriformes; Anatidae.